UACAGAGGUCUCAAGCGUUGUUCGGAUUCAUUGGGCGUAAAGGGCGCGUAGGCGGCCGAUCAAGUCGGGGGUGAAAGCCUGUGGCUCAACCACAGAAUUGCCUUCGAUACUGUUUGGCUUGAGACCGGAAGAGGUAAGUGGAACUGCGAGUGUAGAGGUGAAAUUCGUAGAUAUUCGCAAGAACACCAGUGGCGAAGGCGGCUCACUGGCCCGAUACUGACGCUGAGGCACGAAAGCGUGGGGAGCAAACAGG
Molecule: ribosomal RNA, 253 nt
Filed under: uncultured bacterium
Lineage: Bacteria
Description: partial 16S ribosomal RNA
Rfam family: Bacterial small subunit ribosomal RNA
Source: RNAcentral